This is a non-coding RNA of Bombyx mori (domestic silkworm), 109 nucleotides long. The record is from Rfam. NCBI's taxonomy places the organism in Eukaryota, Metazoa, Arthropoda, Insecta, Lepidoptera, Bombycidae.
UAUCUCUGGUUUCCCUUCAACACGUAUUAAUCUUUCGCCUUUUACUAAAGAUUUCCGUGGAGGGGAACACUCAAAUGAGUCUAUAAUAUUUAUGAUGCCUUGUGAGGCU